UGUAAGCCUUUGAUGUAAAAUUACAGUUAAAUCUGAACAGUAUUUUACUGUAUCACUGCCAUACAGUAUCAUACUGUAAACUGCAAUGCAAUCUGGGAGAAAAAAAAAAGAUUACAGCAAUUUCAGAGAAUGUCAUUCUUUUUACAAUAUUACUGCACUUUUACUGUAAACUGCUAAGCAUUAUGGGAAGGUGAAAGAAAAAGUGCGGGAAAACAGGAUUCCAUCGGUCCUCGGAAAAACUGCUCAGCCAACUGCAGAUGCCUGGAGCUGCCCAACGUCCUCCACACUGUUCACAGAGAGUCUGCCACACCUGCACUUGUGCAGAUGACAGUCACGCUUGCCUGACACACCACGUUUGAUUGUGACUGGUCAUAUGGCACAGGCAAACCGAUGGAUGUUGAGCAUCGAGAAAGAGGUGUUAUGUGAUGGGACAUCCUUUGUUCUUGGCCUUGCAGUAGUCUUCUCCUCCUACUACAAUUUUGACCUGCAGUACCAACAUGAAGCAGCAUGCACAUUGGAGUUCAUUCAGAGAAACUGCAUUGACAUCAACCCGGAGAGAGGCACAAAAGCAAGCCAUGAGAUGGUGAAAAGCAAGAAGAGCGGCAAGAUGGUCCAGAAGAAGUCAACAUCUGUGAAUCCGCAUGUCAGCACACUCAUCGAGAAGAUCAGUGAUUUCAAGUGGGACUUUGUCUGAUACACACGCAUACACAUUAGGGGUAUGACAAAAUAACGAUGCACGAUGUUAUAUGUUGCGGUGU
Long non-coding RNA from Cyprinodon tularosa, 758 nucleotides. RefSeq lists it as uncharacterized. The record is from RefSeq and is a predicted model, not a curated record. The transcript is spliced from 4 exons. NCBI's taxonomy places the organism in Eukaryota, Metazoa, Chordata, Actinopteri, Cyprinodontiformes, Cyprinodontidae.